RNAcentral lists this ribosomal RNA (784 nucleotides) under Mycena latifolia. RNAcentral describes it as "eukaryotic LSU rRNA". The stretch from base 286 to 439 matches the Rfam family "5.8S ribosomal RNA". Lineage: Eukaryota; Fungi; Basidiomycota; Agaricomycetes; Agaricales; Mycenaceae. The record is from RNAcentral.
ACAAGGUUCCGUAGGUGAACCUGCGGAAGGAUCAUUAUUGAAUACGAUUGGAUUCUUGAUGCUGGCUCUUCACUGAGCAUGUGCUCGUCUCCGUCUAUUUAUCUUCUCUUGUGCACCUUUUGUAGUUCUUUGAAGCAAAGUGAACCUCUCGCAGCAAUGCGGUUUGGGGGCUUUUCAUUUUAUGAAUGCCCCUGCUUGCUUUCUUCGAGGCUACGUUUUACAUACACUAUAAAGUUACAGAAUGUCUUUUAACGAUUGUGCUAGUCACAGUCAUUAAACCUAUACAACUUUCAGCAACGGAUCUCUUGGCUCUCCCAUCGAUGAAGAACGCAGCGAAAUGCGAUAAGUAAUGUGAAUUGCAGAAUUCAGUGAAUCAUCGAAUCUUUGAACGCACCUUGCGCCCUUUGGUAUUCCGAAGGGCAUGCCUGUUUGAGUGUCAUUAAAUUAUCAACCCAAAAAGUUUAUUCUUUUUGCGGCUUGGACUUGGGGGUUUGCUGGCUUCCUUCAGUGGAUGGUCUGCUCCCCUUAAAUGCAUUAGCGGGAUCUCUUGUGGACCGUCACUUGGUGUGAUAAUUAUCUAUGCCACGUUGACUUUGAAGCAAAACUUAUGGGAACCUGCUUAUAACCGUCCCUUGUGGACAACUUUAUUGACAAUUUGACCUCAAAUCAGGUAGGACUACCCGCUGAACUUAAGCAUAUCAAUAAGCGGAGGAAAAGAAACUAACAAGGAUUCCCCUAGUAACUGCGAGUGAAGCGGGAAAAGCUCAAAUUUAAAAUCUGGCGG